Long non-coding RNA from Passer domesticus (house sparrow), 1095 nucleotides. RefSeq lists it as uncharacterized. The record is from RefSeq and is a predicted model, not a curated record. The transcript is spliced from 4 exons. Lineage: Eukaryota; Metazoa; Chordata; Aves; Passeriformes; Passeridae.
UCUAUUUAGCUGGAAUGAGUAAAAUAAACUUGAAUAACUUAAAAAAGAGAAAAAAAAAAAGAAAAAAGAAUGGCUUUCUCCUUACAGAAAAACUUGGUCUUUUUUAUGCUCAGAUAAUUAAUAUCCUCACAAGGGUAAUGGCUGUCAUAAUUGCUAUAUGACGUACAGUCCUAGAGGUCUAUCCCAAUGUGAGAAUUAUAUAAUUUACAUUUUCAGAGAGAAAACUGCAGAGGAAUUUCAGGGAGUUUCUGUUCAGUUCUUUGGAUCAGAAUAACCCAAUCAGGUUUAAAGUGAGGAUGGACAGAUAUUGAAAUGCCCAACUUAUUGUACCUAGGUGCCAAAGGAGAUGAUGGAAAUGUCAAAAGGUAAUUGGACAAUUACACCCACCUCCCAGCUGAAAAUGUGUGACUUUGUGAGCUUGAAUGACAAGCUUUGACUCAAUACUGGCAUUGCCUGUGGGGAAUGAGCCCCUUGGAACAAAGAGGAAAAAAGACCAAGAUGGAAAAAAAAUUUUGAAUUAGCCACUAGCAGCCCCAGGAAGUGAAAAAUUAUUAUGUGAUAACAACGUGAGGUAUAAGGCAAGAGAGAACUUAUUUCAUUUCUACUCAAGUAUAAGAUGCCCUUUAUUCCAUUUGAUAUAGACUUAGAAAGCAGGGGUCAUUUUGGACUUGAAAUUUAGUGUCUGAAGGAACUCACAUUUAUCAUUAUUCAAGACCCUGGAUGUAGGCAGCUGGAUUAAGAGGACUCUUCUGUGGUUAGGAGAGAAUUUGGGGAAUUUCUUGCAGGUGCCAUUUUACCCAGACCAGUCUGUAUUUUAGCUGCUAGCCUUUUUGCUUGUUUGUUUGUUUGUUUGUUUGUUUUCAGCAAAAGCAUAACCAUCUUUGGGCAGUAAUCUGAAAUAAUUUAGUACAGAAAAAGAGAUUGAGUGUAUUUUUUGAGAGUGAGAGUCAGCAUGGGUAAGAAAUCAGUAUUCUCACCUGGGCUCAAGUUUAGCUAGAAUGCUAAAUUUAUAUAUAGUCUUUUCUUACCAGAAAUACCAGCUUACUCAGUUUACUGUACAGAGAUUGGAGUUUUACCUGAAGAAAAUAGUCUCUG